Molecule: ribosomal RNA, 430 nt
Filed under: Bacteroidota bacterium
Lineage: Bacteria; Pseudomonadati; Bacteroidota
Description: Bacteroidetes bacterium partial 16S ribosomal RNA
Rfam family: Bacterial small subunit ribosomal RNA
Source: RNAcentral
UAGGGAAUCUUCGGCAAUGGGGGGAACCCUGACCGAGCAACGCCGCGUGAGUGAAGAAGGUUUUCGGAUCGUAAAGCUCUGUUGUUAAGGAAGAACGAGUGUGAGAAUGGAAAGUUCAUGCUGUGACGGUACUUAACCAGAAAGGGACGGCUAACUACGUGCCAGCAGCCGCGGUAAUACGUAGGUCCCGAGCGUUGUCCGGAUUUAUUGGGCGUAAAGCGAGCGCAGGCGGUCAAUUAAGUCUGAUGUGAAAGCCCCCGGCUCAACCGGGGAGGGUCAUUGGAAACUGGUUGACUUGAGUGCAGAAGAGGAGAGUGGAAUUCCAAGUGUAGCGGUGAAAUGCGUAGAUAUAUGGAGGAACACCAGUGGCGAAGGCGACUCUCUGGUCUGUAACUGACGCUGAGGCUCGAAAGCGUGGGUAGCAAACAGG